RNAcentral lists this long non-coding RNA (1299 nucleotides) under Mus musculus (house mouse). RNAcentral's name for it is "long non-coding RNA chr15:76527648-76528947". Lineage: Eukaryota; Metazoa; Chordata; Mammalia; Rodentia; Muridae. The record is from RNAcentral.
UUUUUUUCAUAAAAGCAGAGAAAGCAUGCCCAUUCAUGAGGAAGCCUGUACCUAUGAUUAUAUUCUCCGUUAACUGAAGGCAUUUUAGAAUAUGAUAUCUGGUAUUUACUUCAGAAUAACAAAAAGAAAGGGCUGUGGGUGAUCCAGUUUUUGAUGAACAUGGUGAGGGGCGCAGACUUCUCAAACUCACCCUGCUUUAAUGCAGAAUUUGAUGUUUUCUAUAGGAAAAAAAAAUCCUGAAAUUUGCAUUUUGUGAUUAAAUCGGUGUGCUUAAAAAAAAAAAAACAAAAACAAAAAGAAGAGAAUAUGGUCAAAAUUCAAAAUUGAUGAAACUUUUUUGGGGGGGGGUUCGAGACAGGGUUUCUCUGUAUAGCUCUGGAACUCAUUUUGUAGACCAGGCUGGCCUCAAACUCAGAAAUCCGCCUGCCUCUGCCUCCCGAGUGCUGGGAUUAAAGGCGUGCGCCACCAGGGCUGGCUCCUGAUGAGACUUAAUAAUCCAUAGAAUCUUCAACACUCAGACAGCAGCAAAGGCAGGCAGAUCUCUGCGUUCAAGCCAAACCUAGUGUAUAAAUCAAAUUCCAGGAUAGCCAGAGCUACAUAAAGACCUCAGAAUAAAACAAACACACAGACACAUGUUCAACAAACUCCGCACAUAAAACAAGGAGAGUACCUAGAUAUAUCAUAUAAUUGACAUGUCAUAAACUUUAAAAAUCUAGUGAUAAAGCCAGGAGGCUCCUUCCCCCUCCCCUCCCCCCGGGUUCACUACAGGAACAGAACAGAGAGUAACAAUUCAGGCUGACUCUGAACUCACUAAAUAGCCUAUUCGAAUCUACACGUAUGUCUCCUCCCAAGUGCUGGUAUUAUAGUCACACAGCACCCUGGCUGGCUGCCUUCAUUUUCCUUCUUUUUCUUUUUAUUAUUGUUUUUGAGAAAGGGUCUUACAGAACCUUGACUGGCAUGGAGUGCCUACCUAGACCAGGCGAGCCUCAAACAGAGUCCCCUGCCUCUGCUCCUAUGGACUGGGAUUAAAGAAGUGUCCCUACCAUCACUGACCUUUUAAAAUUGUUUUGCUUUUGAGACUGGGUUUCUUUUUUGUAGCCCCGCUGUCCUGGAACUCCCUCUCUAAACCAGGCUGUCCUUAAACUCAGAGAGAUCUGUCUGGCUCUGCUUCCUGAGUGCUGGGAUUAAAGGCGUGCGCGACCAUGCCCGGCGAGACCCUGUCUUUUAAAAAAAAGUGUCUACCAUGACUGAAGCUUCUCAAAUGUGCUCUCUAGUGAACCCAGAUGAAUACACUAUGUG